GAUGAACGCUGGCGGCGUGCCUAAUACAUGCAAGUCGAGCGAACGGACGAGAAGCUUGCUUCUCUGAUGUUAGCGGCGGACGGGUGAGUAACACGUGGAUAACCUACCUAUAAGACUGGGGUAACUUCGGGAAACCGGAGCUAAUACCGGAUAAUAUUUUGAACCGCAUGGUUCAAAAGUGAAAGACGGUCUUGCUGUCACUUAUAGAUGGAUCCGCGCUGCAUUAGCUAGUUGGUAAGGUAACGGCUUACCAAGGCAACGAUGCAUAGCCGACCUGAGAGGGUGAUCGGCCACACUGGAACUUAGACACGGUCCAGACUCCUACGGGAGGCAGCAGUAGGGAAUCUUCCGCAAUGGGCGAAAGCCUGACGGAGCAACGCCGCGUGAGUGAUGAAGGUCUUCGGAUCGUAAAACUCUGUUAUUAGGGAAGAACAUAUGUGUAAGUAACUGUGCACAUCUUGACGGUACCUAAUCAGAAAGCCACGGCUAACUACGUG
Molecule: ribosomal RNA, 497 nt
Filed under: uncultured bacterium
Lineage: Bacteria
Description: partial 16S ribosomal RNA
Rfam family: Bacterial small subunit ribosomal RNA
Source: RNAcentral